Molecule: ribosomal RNA, 501 nt
Filed under: uncultured bacterium
Lineage: Bacteria
Description: partial 16S ribosomal RNA
Rfam family: Bacterial small subunit ribosomal RNA
Source: RNAcentral
AUUGAACGCUGGCGGCAUGCCUUACACAUGCAAGUCGAACGGCAGCACGGGUGCUUGCACCUGGUGGCGAGUGGCGAACGGGUGAGUAAUACAUCGGAACGUACCUUAUCGUGGGGGAUAACGCAGCGAAAGGUGCGCUAAUACCGCAUACGCCCUGAGGGGGCAAGCGGGGGACCGUAAGGCCUCGCGCGGUGAGAGCGGCCGAUGUCUGAUUAGCUUGUUGGCGAGGUGAAAGCUCACCGAGGCGAUGAUCAGUAGCUGGUCUGAGAGGACGAUCAGCCACACUGGGACUGAGACACGGCCCAGACUCCUACGGGAGGCAGCAGUGGGGAAUUUUGGACAAUGGGGGCAACCCUGAUCCAGCAAUGCCGCGUGAGUGAAGAAGGCCUUCGGGUUGUAAAGCUCUUUUGUCAGGGAAGAAACAGCAGCUCUAACACAGUCUGCGAAUGACGGUACCUGAAGAAUAAGCACCGGCUAACUACGUGCCAGCCGCCGCGGUAA